Molecule: ribosomal RNA, 608 nt
Filed under: Citrobacter youngae
Lineage: Bacteria; Pseudomonadati; Pseudomonadota; Gammaproteobacteria; Enterobacterales; Enterobacteriaceae
Description: bacterial SSU rRNA
Rfam family: Bacterial small subunit ribosomal RNA
Source: RNAcentral
UGGAAAUGGGGGCGGCCUACCAUGCAGUCGACGGUAGCACAGAGGAGCUUGCUCCUUGGGUGACGAGUGGCGGACGGGUGAGUAAUGUCUGGGAAACUGCCCGAUGGAGGGGGAUAACUACUGGAAACGGUAGCUAAUACCGCAUAACGUCGCAAGACCAAAGAGGGGGACCUUCGGGCCUCUUGCCAUCGGAUGUGCCCAGAUGGGAUUAGCUAGUAGGUGGGGUAACGGCUCACCUAGGCGACGAUCCCUAGCUGGUCUGAGAGGAUGACCAGCCACACUGGAACUGAGACACGGUCCAGACUCCUACGGGAGGCAGCAGUGGGGAAUAUUGCACAAUGGGCGCAAGCCUGAUGCAGCCAUGCCGCGUGUAUGAAGAAGGCCUUCGGGUUGUAAAGUACUUUCAGCGAGGAGGAAGGUGUUGUGGUUAAUAACCGCAGCAAUUGACGUUACUCGCAGAAGAAGCACCGGCUAACUCCGUGCCAGCAGCCGCGGUAAUACGGAGGGUGCAAGCGUUAAUCGGAAUUACUGGGCGUAAAGCGCACGCAGGCGGUCUGUCAAGUCGGAUGUGAAAUCCCCGGGCUCAACCUGGGAACUGCAUCCGAAAC